GGAGAAUGGCGAGUCCGAGUAUCAAAGGAUUAAACUAUUUAUUUUUAGACACGCAUACUGUGGUAGAAUGGUAGUAAUAAAUUUGAAAUGUGUUAAAGGAUAGCUAGUGCUUAAAUUAUGUAGAUGCUCUUGGUUGUUGUGUGCUCUACUUCUCUUGAUCUGUAAUAGGAUCUCUAAGGUUUAGGGGCCGAGUUAAGGGGCAAUUGCUUAAUGAAUGGUAAAUGUCUUGGUGCAACUGCAAGAUUGUAGGUUUGAAUAAGAAUAUCCGUUUUGUGCAUAAAUGUUGAUGGUUAGGAGGAUUACCUCCAAAUUUUCUCAUAAGCCCCACUUUUAUGGGACACUGCUAUGUAAUAGUAUUUCUUUUGAGUGACUAAUUAUAUUUGGUAUGCAUACAGGGUAGAUUCUACUUUGGAGAGUUUGUUGAUGAGGCUACAGACUGUGAUGAGAACAUUUCAGCAUUGCAUGCAGGAAUAGCAGAAGUAGCUGCUGCUAAGGCUCGGAUGUUUGUUAACAAACCAGAUGGAAGUAUGUCUUUUUGAUGCCAUUGAAAUUACUUCUUGUUGGAAUCCUACAUCGAAA
This 579-nucleotide unclassified non-coding RNA is filed under the name Hevea brasiliensis (rubber tree). The record is from RNAcentral. Lineage: Eukaryota; Viridiplantae; Streptophyta; Magnoliopsida; Malpighiales; Euphorbiaceae.